GGCGACCCCAGGUCAGGCGGGAU
RNAcentral lists this ribosomal RNA (23 nucleotides) under Calceolaria gaultherioides. RNAcentral's name for it is "partial 28S ribosomal RNA". The record is from RNAcentral. RNAcentral also lists the same sequence under 1 other name. Lineage: Eukaryota; Viridiplantae; Streptophyta; Magnoliopsida; Lamiales; Calceolariaceae.